GGGAUCAUUACAAGAACGCCCGGGCUUCGGCCUGGUUAUUCAUAACCCUUUGUUGUCCGACUCUGUUGCCUCCGGGGCGACCCUGCCUUCGGGCGGGGGCUCCGGGUGGACACUUCAAACUCUUGCGUAACUUUGCAGUCUGAGUAAACUUAAUUAAUAAAUUAAAACUUUUAACAACGGAUCUCUUGGUUCUGGCAUCGAUGAAGAACGCAGCGAAAUGCGAUAAGUAAUGUGAAUUGCAGAAUUCAGUGAAUCAUCGAAUCUUUGAACGCACAUUGCGCCCCCUGGUAUUCCGGGGGGCAUGCCUGUUCGAGCGUCAUUUCACCACUCAAGCCUCGCUUGGUAUUGGGCAACGCGGUCCGCCGCGUGCCUCAAAUCGUCCGGCUGGGUCUUCUGUCCCCUAAGCGUUGUGGAAACUAUUCGCUAAAGGGUGUUCGGGAGGCUACGCCGUAAAACAACCCCAUUUCUAAGGUUGACCUCGGAUCAGGUAGGGAUACCCGCUGAACU
This 507-nucleotide ribosomal RNA is filed under the name Cladosporium paralimoniforme. RNAcentral describes it as "eukaryotic LSU rRNA". The stretch from base 166 to 319 matches the Rfam family "5.8S ribosomal RNA". RNAcentral also lists the same sequence under 1 other name. The record is from RNAcentral. Lineage: Eukaryota; Fungi; Ascomycota; Dothideomycetes; Cladosporiales; Cladosporiaceae.